GCCCUUAGAGUUUGAUCCUGGCUCAGGAUAAACGCUGGCGGCGUGCCUAACACAUGCAAGUCGAACGCGCUUCGCAAGAAGUGAGUGGCGGACGGGUGAGGAACACGUGGAUACCUACCCCCGAGUGAGGAAUACCGGCGAGAAAUCGCCGACAAUACCGCAUAGGCUCCGUAAGGAGCAAAGUCGCAAGACGCUCGAGGCUGGGUCUGCGUCGGAUUAGCUAGUUGGUGGGGUAAUGGCCUACCAAAGCGACGAUCCGUAGCUGGUCUGAGAGGAUGAUCAGCCACACUGGGAUUGAGAACGGCCCAGACUCCUACGGGGGGCAGCAGUGAGGAAUUUUCGGCAAUGGGCGCAAGCCUGACCGAGCAACGCCGCGUGCAGGAUGACGGUCUUCGGAUUGUAAACUGCUUUUCUCUGGGACGAGCAAGGACGGUACCAGAGGAAUCAGCCCCGGCUAACUACGUGCCAGCAGCCGCGGUAAUACGUAGGGGGCAAGCGUUGUCCGGAUUUACUGGGCGUAAAGCGCACGCAGGCGGUCAGUUACGUUUGUGGUGACAGCUCCCGGCUUCACUGGGAGAGUGCUACGAAAACGGGCUGACUUGAGGACCAGAGAGGGAUACGGAACUCCGGGUGGAGUGGUGAAAUGCGUAGAUAUCCGGAAGAACACCAAAGGCGAAGGCAGUGUCCUGGCUGGUUCCUGACGCUCAGGUGCGAAAGCUAGGGGAGCAAACGGGAUUAGAUACCCCGGUAGUCCUAGCCGUAAACGAUGACCACUAGGUGUGGGAGGUAUCGACCCCUUCCGUGCCGCAGUCAACACAAUAAGUGGUCCGCCUGGGGAGUACGGUCGCAAGAUUAAAACUCAAAUGAAUUGACGGGGAAGGCGAAUUCUG
Molecule: ribosomal RNA, 890 nt
Filed under: uncultured bacterium
Lineage: Bacteria
Description: bacterial SSU rRNA
Rfam family: Bacterial small subunit ribosomal RNA
Source: RNAcentral